AUUGCUUCUCGGCCUUUUGGCUAAGAUCAAGUGUAGUACAUGUGAACACUAAUUGAAAGAAAGUAGGAGUAACUAUU
This 77-nucleotide small nuclear RNA is filed under the name Nomascus leucogenys (northern white-cheeked gibbon). RNAcentral's name for it is "U2 spliceosomal RNA". The record is from Rfam by way of RNAcentral. Lineage: Eukaryota; Metazoa; Chordata; Mammalia; Primates; Hylobatidae.